Molecule: long non-coding RNA, 309 nt
Organism: Hypomesus transpacificus
Lineage: Eukaryota; Metazoa; Chordata; Actinopteri; Osmeriformes; Osmeridae
Exons: 4
Source: RefSeq, a predicted model, not a curated record
GGUCAUUUCCGGUUAUUUUCUGCCACAAGGUACGAAGGCAAACAAGCGUCUAAGAGAAGCAACUACUAAAUCAAAAGUAUGAGGUAGCAGUCUCCUCCAUAGAAGUGACCCAACCACUUCCUCUCUACAGAUCUCAGGUUUUCAACAAUGUUUGGUUGUUGUUUCUGACCUCAGCUUCGCCUGAUCCAUCAUCCACCAUUUUCUGCUGAGCUGCCAGGCUGUUGGUGGUUCCCAUCCCUGUAAUCUGUCCCUUCACCACCCACUUUUGAAACAACUGGCGAAAAAUUGAAGACUCUGAACCAUCAUUCA